UACGGAGGUGGCUAGCGUUGUUCGGAAUUACUGGGCGUAAAGCGCGCGUAGGCGGACCUGCAAGUCGGGGGUGAAAGCCCGAGGCUCAACCUCGGAACUGCCUUCGAUACUGCGGGUCUCGAGUCCGGGAGAGGUGAGUAGAACUGCGAGUGUAGAGGUGAAAUUCGUAGAUAUUCGCAAGAACACCAGUGGCGAAGGCGGCUCACUGGCCCGGUACUGACGCUGAGGUGCGAAAGCGUGGGGAGCAAACAGG
RNAcentral lists this ribosomal RNA (253 nucleotides) under uncultured bacterium. RNAcentral's name for it is "partial 16S ribosomal RNA". It matches the Rfam family "Bacterial small subunit ribosomal RNA", at positions 524 to 776 of the family's 1533-position model. The record is from RNAcentral.